This 843-nucleotide long non-coding RNA is filed under the name Homo sapiens (human). RNAcentral describes it as "long intergenic non-protein coding RNA 467". Lineage: Eukaryota; Metazoa; Chordata; Mammalia; Primates; Hominidae. The record is from RNAcentral.
GUUGGGUUUCGCGGCGCUCGCCGCACUGGUUGUUCAGCACCUUCGGUCCGGUUGAGGUUGUCAAGUCGGACCAAACAGGUUGUUUCUCUGCAGUUUCCAUUACGAAAGAUGAGUAUUUAGUACUCCAUUUGUGCUGUUUUCCUUUUGUGGUAUCAUUCAGCCUUGUGGCUUCAAACAUUGUACUGAAGAUUCUCAGACUUAUUACUACAUGGCAGGGAGGUUUAAUAGACAUGGAUAAGAAGUCCACUCACAGAAAUCCUGAAGAUGCCAGGGCUGGCAAAUAUGAAGGUAAACACAAACGAAAGAAAAGAAGAAAGCAAAACCAAAACCAGCACCGAUCCCGACAUAGAUCAGUGACGUCUUUUUCUUCAGAUGAUCCUAUGUUUCCUUCUUCCUCAUCAUCGUCUUCAGGAAGCCAGACAGAUUCAAGUAUUGAAGUAACACAGACCCUCUGUAGAAUACCCAGGAGGGAUAGGAAUGAAUCAGAGAUGCUGCCAAGGGAAAAAUUAAGAAGAAGAGAAGAGAGAAAACAAAUAAAUGGGAAAAAAGAAAGGACAAAAUAUGAAACACCAAGAAAAAGAGAAGGAAAAAAAGGAGGAAACAACCACAUAUGUCACCUUUCCAAGAGGGACUGAAACUGGGCUGACCCUUUUGAUUUCCAAGCUCAGCGUUUUGGUGUAAGGCGGCCAAAGAAGGAUGCGGAGCCCAGCACUGUGAAGCCUACAAAAACAUUGAUGCGCUGGCUUGGGGAUUUGAAUUUGAACAUCUUUCACACUAAGUUCAGACUCAUGAAACCAAUCUUCAGAUGCUCUGUAAACCACAUAAUAAAGAGUUUGGAAAUUA